AUUGAACGCUGGCGGCAGGCCUAACACAUGCAAGUCGAGCGAGCGGCGCACGGGUGAGUAAUGUAUGGGGAUCUGCCCGAUAGAGGGGGAUAACUACUGGAAACGGUAGCUAAUACCGCAUACUCUUUGAGCGGCCGAUAUCGGAGUAGCUAGUUGGUGGGGUAAAGGCUCAACAAGGCAACGAUCCGUAGCUGGUUUGAGAGGACGACCAGCCACACUGGGACUGAGACACGGCCCAGACUCCUACGGGAGGCAGCAGUGGGGAAUUUUGGGCAAUGGGGGGAACCCUGAUCCAGCCAUCCCGCGUGUAUGAGAAGGCCUUCGGGUUGUAAAGUACUUUUGGUAGAGAAGCGGUAUCUGCAGAAGAAGCACCGGCUAACUACGUGCCAGCAGCCGCGGUAAUAC
This 405-nucleotide ribosomal RNA is filed under the name uncultured bacterium. RNAcentral describes it as "partial 16S ribosomal RNA". It matches the Rfam family "Bacterial small subunit ribosomal RNA", at positions 30 to 526 of the family's 1533-position model. The record is from RNAcentral.